Molecule: ribosomal RNA, 497 nt
Filed under: uncultured bacterium
Lineage: Bacteria
Description: partial 16S ribosomal RNA
Rfam family: Bacterial small subunit ribosomal RNA
Source: RNAcentral
GAUGAACGCUGGCGGCGUGCCUAAUACAUGCAAGUCGAGCGAACAGACGAGGAGCUUGCUCCUCUGACGUUAGCGGCGGACGGGUGAGUAACACGUGGAUAACCUACCUAUAAGACUGGGAUAACUUCGGGAAACCGGAGCUAAUACCGGAGAAUAUAUUGAACCGCAUGGUGCAAUAGUGAAAGACGGUUUUGCUGUCACUUAUAGAUGGAUCCGCGCCGCAUUAGCUAGUUGGUAAGGUAACGGCUUACCAAGGCAACGAUGCGUCGCCGACCUGAGAGGGUGAUCGGCCACCCUGGAACUGAGCCACGCUCCAGACUCCUACGGGAGGCAGCAGUAGGGAAUCUUCCGCAGUGGGCGAAAGCCUGACGGAGCAACGCCGCGUGAGUGAUGAAGGUCUUCGGAUCGUAAAACUCUGUUAUUAGGGAAAAACAAAUGUGUAAGUAACUAUGCACGUAUUGACGGUACCUAAUCAGAAAGCCCCGGCUAACUACGUG